CUUCCUACGGGAGGCAGCAGUGGGGAAUCUUAGACAAUGGGCGCAAGCCUGAUCCAGCCAUGCCGCGUGAGUGAAGAAGGCCCUAGGGUUGUAAAGCUCUUUCCCCUGGGAAGAUAAUGACGGUACCCGGUAAAGAAACCCCGGCUAACUCCGUGCCAGCACCCGCGGUAAUACGGAGGGGGUUAGCGUUGUUUGGAAUUACUGGGCGUAAAGCGCGCGUAGGCGGAGCAGAAAGUGUGGGGUGAAAUCCCGGGGCUCAACCCCGGAACGGCCUCCAAAACUCCUCGUCUUGAGUUCGAGAGAGGUGAGUGGAAUUCCGAGUGUAGAGGUGAAAUUCGUAGAUAUUUGGAAGAACACCAGUGGCGAAGGCGGCUCACUGGCCCGAUACUGACGCUGAGGUGCGAAAGUGUGGGGAGCAAACAGGAUUAGAUACCCUGGUAGUCCACACCGUAAACGAUGAAUGCCAGUCGUCGGGGAGCAUGCCGCUCGGUGACACACCUAACGCACUAAGCAGACCUGCCUGGGAGUAAGACGACCG
This 538-nucleotide ribosomal RNA is filed under the name uncultured Alphaproteobacteria bacterium. RNAcentral describes it as "bacterial SSU rRNA". It matches the Rfam family "Bacterial small subunit ribosomal RNA", at positions 335 to 891 of the family's 1533-position model. The record is from RNAcentral. Lineage: Bacteria; Pseudomonadati; Pseudomonadota; Alphaproteobacteria.